AUUUUUUUGUCUUCAUUCUUUCUCUAAGCUCUAGUUAUCUCCCCUCACCAGCAUCUCCUUAUCUUCCUUUCCUUGACACACAUCUCCAUCUCUCACACACCCUAUUUCCAGGGAUUCCAUUCUGCCAAAAUUUCAACUCAGGCUAUACAAAUCCAAAUGCAGUAAAGAUAUUCUUCCAAACAUUAUGAAGAAAGAUGUGAUUAAAAGCAUUCACUAAAGGGGUGCCUGGAUGGCUCAUUUGGGUAAGUGUCUGACUCUUGAUUUCAGCUCAGGUCUUGAUCUCAUGGUCGUGGAAUUGAGCCCUGCAAUGGGCUCUAUGCUGACAGUCGGACCCUGCUUGGGAUUCUCUCUCUCUCCUCUCCCCACCAACUGCCUGGAUCACACACACACACUGUUUCUCAAAAUAAAUAAAUGAACUUAAAAAAAAAAGGCAUUCGGUAAACAAUGAGUUCUAAAAUCUCAGGAGGAGAUGGUGGCAAAGAGGAACCAGAACAUUAAGAUCUCAAAUCUGUGAAGGUUUUUUUAUUUGUUCAAAUCUCAUUGUUCCUUAAUCCUUCUCCUAUUCUUACAACUCUCUGAAAAAAUCUUCAGUAAAACUACCCACCCUAAGAGAAGAUAGAAAGAAAAGCAGGAGGAGGAGCCAUUCUGUAUUAACAAGAAAAUGACAUUUGGAGGUAGAGGAGCAGAUCUGGGGUCUUUGCACCCAGGUAACAACCUAAAAAAACUGUCCACGGGAACUCAUAAUCAAGCACAACUCUAUGCUGCUAGAUGUGACAAAUGGGGGACAUAUGUUCGGCUAAGUCCUAUGUCAGCAGUGUGCAUUUUUUCCAAACGUUGCAUCAAAAGUUCCUUUUAAAAAACUCAUUAACUUCACAAGCUAAAGUCUGAGCUUCUAAUUUAGCUCUCUUAUUUAAAGAAAUAGUUUAAAUGAUCAGUUCAGAAGCUUAAAAUUAUCUUUGAAACUAAAGUUGCUUUUCUCAAAAUGAAUGCGGACUUGGAGCACUGUCACUAUGAGACAGAGGCACUAAUGCCACGAGCAACGAGAAACAGUAUCACCAAAGGAUAAUUACAUGGUACAAAAUGCCCAGGGGCCUGAAACUCACUAUUAAUAUGAUUUUGGCAGCAGCAUCAUUUGAUAUUUAACCAUUUAUUACAUAGUAUUAACACACCAGCUUCAAAGAUGUGCACUCCCUUUAGGACACUCAGGAGUUACAAAUUUAUUGUGAUUGCAUAAUUCGUAUUGCACAGUUUUAUAAAAAACAUAAAUACUGGCUAUUCUAGUUUUAAAUACAAAAUACAUGUCAUAUAGUUUAAAUCUAUAAUCUGGUUCAAGUGCAAAUCAGGUGCUUUCUUUAGUCCUUCCAAAAAAGGCAUUUUUAAUAUUUUUGGCACAAAUGAAAUUUCAUCAUGCCAACAAUUCUAAUUACAAUACAUAUAUCCAAACCUUUAGAAUAGCAAUCAUAUACAUACAGUAUAAAACUGAUUAUUUACAAAUGUACUAAGCAUUACUGUAAUCUUUGUGGGUGAAUCAGAACUAAUUAGCCAUACCCACACUAAUGAUCAUUAAAAAAGGUAAAUAA
This 1580-nucleotide long non-coding RNA is filed under the name Felis catus (domestic cat). RNAcentral describes it as "lncRNA (ENSFCAG00000049748.1)". The record is from RNAcentral. Lineage: Eukaryota; Metazoa; Chordata; Mammalia; Carnivora; Felidae.